RNAcentral lists this ribosomal RNA (341 nucleotides) under Priapichthys panamensis. RNAcentral describes it as "partial 12S ribosomal RNA". It matches the Rfam family "Bacterial small subunit ribosomal RNA", at positions 852 to 1359 of the family's 1533-position model. Lineage: Eukaryota; Metazoa; Chordata; Actinopteri; Cyprinodontiformes; Poeciliidae. The record is from RNAcentral.
AGAAAUUUACAACCUCUAUCCGCCCGGGAACUACGAGCAUAAGCUUAAAACCCAAAGGACUUGGCGGUGCUUUAGACCCCCCUAGAGGAGCCUGUUCUAGAACCGAUAACCCCCGUUUAACCUCACCUUUUCUUGUUUAUCCCGCCUAUAUACCGCCGUCGUCAGCAUACCCUGUGAAGGAAUUACAGUAAGCAAAAUUGGUAAAACCCAAAACGCCAGGUCGAGGUGUAGCAUACGAAAAGGGAAGAAAUGGGCUACAUUUCCUACCCUAGGAAACACGGAUUGUGUCAUGAAAUAACACAUAAAGGAGGAUUUAGCAGUAAGCAGAAAGCAGAGCGUUC